UAGGGAAUCUUCCACAAUGGACGAAAGUCUGAUGGAGCAACGCCGCGUGUGUGAUGAAGGGUUUCGGCUCGUAAAACACUGUUGUAAGAGAAGAAUGACAUUGAGAGUAACUGUUCAAUGUGUGACGGUAUCUUACCAGAAAGGAACGGCUAAAUACGUUCCACG
Molecule: ribosomal RNA, 165 nt
Filed under: uncultured bacterium
Lineage: Bacteria
Description: partial 16S ribosomal RNA
Rfam family: Bacterial small subunit ribosomal RNA
Source: RNAcentral